GCCACGUGACCCCAGAAAUAGAGGAAUAGCUAAGGAAUGAGCUGAAAGAAGCAAACAUGGACUUUGUCUUCGCUGGCUCAGGAACUGGGCCUUCCCUAAGUCUCACAGUGGAAACCUGAGCCCAACUGCAAGUCCCGUCAGCAGAGAGGACACAGAAGACGCUUCCCCAGCCGGCGGCAUCAGCACGAUCCAAGGACUGGACGAGACCAGAGACGGGAGGGUGAGACACUCUGAUCGUGAGGAAGUGACUCAUCCACUCAGCCUCAGUGCCCUCACCUGUAAAAUGGGGCUAGCCCCUACCUCUGAGGGUUGUUGUGUGAGGCAGAUGACGUGUUAUGGAGAUGCCAACUAUUGUGGUUACUGUACAGAGGGAGAAACUGAGGCACAGAGCAUGUAAGCUCAUGCGCUGAAUUAGUGAUGGGACGAGGACUAGAAGGAGCCGGCUGAACUGCAGAGGAAGGAGCUCUGCCACUUGCUGCCUCAGUUUCCUCAUCUGUAAAAUGAGGAGGUUCGCCUGGGUAACUUCCAAGGUCUCAUCUUGGGUGAGUCUCCUGGCUCACAGCCCAGAGGCCCUCUCCCUGGUCCAGAGUCCUCCUGGGUAGCUGGCUGGUGGCACCAAGUGAAGGCUUGGCCCUGCCAAGACCUAGAGGGUGGCACUGCUGAGUGAGACAGGCCUCAUUCCUCCCUCCUCGCAGGCUUUGUCUCAGUGAUUAUAGCCAGGACCCUCGUGACACAGAGGGCAUCCCUUUGUAUCAGCUGAGGCUUGGGCAGCUUGGCCGUCCUGGGGGCAGCUGGUGCAUUCCAUCUAGCCUUCCUUUUUUCUUUUCUUUUCUUUUCUUUUUUUUAUUAAUUUCUUUUGAUUUAUCAACAAUCACUUCCAUGUGCUUUUGAGUUUAAAAUUUUUCUCCCUCUUCCUCCCCACCACCCCUCCCCAAGAUUGCUUUCAAUCUGAUAUAGGCUACAUAUACAUUUCUAUUAAAUGUAUUUUCACAUUAGUGAUGUUGUAAGGAAGAAUUAGAAGCAAUAGGAGGAACCACCAGAAAGAGGAAACAAAACUCAACAGAAGAGAAAAAACAACAGCAAAUAGUGUGCUUUGAUGGGCAUCCAAUUCCAUAGUUCUUUCUUUGGAUGUGGAGAGCAUUUUCCAUCACGAGGCCUUUGGAGACGUCUUAGAUCCUUGUAUUGCUCAGAAGGGUUCAGUUUAUCAGUAUUAGUCAUCACACAACGUGGCUGUUAUUUAUUGUGUACAGCUUUUUUUUUUUAAAGCAAUUGGG
RNAcentral lists this long non-coding RNA (1274 nucleotides) under Phascolarctos cinereus (koala). Its description in RNAcentral is "lncRNA (ENSPCIG00000022154.2)". The record is from RNAcentral. Lineage: Eukaryota; Metazoa; Chordata; Mammalia; Diprotodontia; Phascolarctidae.